AUCUUGGACAAUGGGCGCAAGCCUGAUCCAGCCAUGCCGCGUGAGUGAAGAAGGCCUUAGGGUUGUAAAGCUCUUUUGCCGGGGACGAUAAUGACGGUACCCGGAGAAUAAGUCCCGGCUAACUCUGUGCCAGCAGCCGCGGUAAUACAGAGGGUGCGAGCGUUGUUCGGAAUCACUGGGCGUAAAGCGCGCGCAGGCGGGACCUGCAAGUCGGGAGUGAAAGGCCGGGGCUCAACCCCGGAGCUGCUUUCGAGACUGCGGACCUGGAGACCAGUAGGGGUUGGUGGAAUUCCCGGUGUAGCGGUGGAAUGCGUAGAUAUCGGGAAGAACACCCGUGGCGAAGGCGGCCAACUGGGCUGGAUCUGACGCUGAGGCGCGAAAGCGUGGGGAGCAA
This 394-nucleotide ribosomal RNA is filed under the name uncultured bacterium. RNAcentral's name for it is "bacterial SSU rRNA". It matches the Rfam family "Bacterial small subunit ribosomal RNA", at positions 361 to 771 of the family's 1533-position model. The record is from RNAcentral.